AACGAACGCUGGCGGCAUGCCUAACACAUGCAAGUCGAACGAGACCUCCGGGUAUACUGGCGCACGGGUGUGUAACGUGGGGGAACCUGCCCUUAGGCACGGAAUAACCCCCCGAAAGGGGUGCUAAUACCGGAUAAUGUCUUCGGAUCAAGGAUUUAUCGCCGUUGGAUGGGCCCGCGUUGGUUUAGCUAGUUGGUAGGGAAAAAGCCUACCAAGGCGACGAUCCAUAGCUGGUCUGAGAGGCUGAUCAGCCACACUGAGACUGAGACACGGCCCAGACUACUGCGGAAGGGAGCAGUGCCGAAUAUAGGACUAUGGGCGGAAGCCUGAUCCAGCACUGCUGGGGUAGAAAUGAAGGCCGUAGGGUUGUGAAGCACUUUUAUCCGUGAUGAUAAUGACAGUACCGAGAGAAGAAGAUCCGGCUAACUCCGUG
RNAcentral lists this ribosomal RNA (433 nucleotides) under uncultured bacterium. Its description in RNAcentral is "partial 16S ribosomal RNA". It matches the Rfam family "Bacterial small subunit ribosomal RNA", at positions 29 to 507 of the family's 1533-position model. The record is from RNAcentral.